AUUUAAAUAAUUUAAUUUUAAAAAUAUUGAUUUGUGAAAUCAAAAAUAUACCCAAAAUAUUUUAAAUC
Molecule: transfer RNA, 68 nt
Filed under: Trybliographa sp. ZJUH 20220008
Lineage: Eukaryota; Metazoa; Arthropoda; Insecta; Hymenoptera; Figitidae
Description: tRNA-His
Source: RNAcentral